Molecule: ribosomal RNA, 987 nt
Filed under: Entomortierella parvispora
Lineage: Eukaryota; Fungi; Mortierellomycota; Mortierellomycetes; Mortierellales; Mortierellaceae
Description: eukaryotic LSU rRNA
Rfam family: Eukaryotic large subunit ribosomal RNA
Source: RNAcentral
AGUGAAGCGGGAUGAGCUCAAAUUUAAAAUCUGGCUGGUUUACUAGUCCGAAUUGUAGUUUAAAGAAGCGUUUUCGGUGGCAGUCUCGGUAUAAAUCCUUUGGAAUAGGGUAUCAUAGAGGGUGAGAAUCCCGUCUUUGACUGAGAAUUUGCUACUAUGUGAUACGUUUUCAAAGAGUCGAGUUGUUUGGGAAUGCAGCUCAAAAUGGGUGGUAAAUUUCAUCUAAAGCUAAAUAUUGGCGAGAGACCGAUAGCGAACAAGUACCGUGAGGGAAAGAUGAAAAGAACUUUGAAAAGAGAGUUAAACAGUGCGUGAAAUUGUUGAAAGGGAAACGCUUGAAACCAGUCAUGUAGUUGGAAAAUCAGUGUUCAAUUGGGGGGAAUGGGAGAGGUGUGGACCGCAAGGCUGCUCUUUUCUAUAUCUCUUUUGUUGGGCAUGCACUUUUUCUUCCACAGGUCAACAUCAGUUUCUUCUGCUGGACAAAACUCUUGAGAAGGUAGCAGCUUAGGCUGUGUUAUAGCUCUGGAGCGAUACAGUGGAGGGGACUGAGGUUUUCGCAGCAUGUGCUCUCGGGCAAGGCCAAUUGGAUGCUAUGGGAUCGUUCGGGGUACAAUACAUGUAUUUUGCUUCGUGUCUUUUCUAUACUCGUUUAGUUGAGCUCUUCCAUGCUUAGGAUGUUGACUUAAUGGUUUUAAUCGACCCGUCUUGAAACACGGACCAAGGAGUCUAACAUAUAUGCAAGUGUUUGGGUGGCAAACCCAUGCGCGUAAUGAAAGUGAACGUAGGUGCCAUCCGCAAGGUGCAGCAUCGACCGAUCUUGAUAUUUUUGGAUAGAUUUGAGUAAGAGCAUAUAUGCUGGGACCCGAAAGAUGGUGAACUAUGCCUGAAUAGGGUGAAGCCAGAGGAAACUCUGGUGGAGGCUCGUAGCGAUUCUGACGUGCAAAUCGAUCGUCAAAUUUGGGUAUAGGGGCGAAAGACUAAUCGACC